This 475-nucleotide ribosomal RNA is filed under the name uncultured Arthrobacter sp. RNAcentral's name for it is "bacterial SSU rRNA". It matches the Rfam family "Bacterial small subunit ribosomal RNA", at positions 28 to 507 of the family's 1533-position model. The record is from RNAcentral. Lineage: Bacteria; Bacillati; Actinomycetota; Actinomycetes; Micrococcales; Micrococcaceae.
GAUGAACGCUGGCGGCGUGCUUAACACAUGCAAGUCGAACGAUGAUGCUGGUGCUUGCACUGGUGGAUUAGUGGCGAACGGGUGAGUAACACGUGAGUAACCUGCCCCUGACUUCGGGAUAAGCCCGGGAAACUGGGUCUAAUACCGGAUAUGACUUCCUGCUGCAUGGCAGGGGGUGGAAAGAUUUAUCGGUUGGGGAUGGACUCGCGGCCUAUCAGCUUGUUGGUGAGGUAAUGGCUCACCAAGGCGACGACGGGUAGCCGGCCUGAGAGGGUGACCGGCCACACUGGGACUGAGACACGGCCCAGACUCCUACGGGAGGCAGCAGUGGGGAAUAUUGCACAAUGGGCGAAAGCCUGAUGCAGCGACGCCGCGUGAGGGAUGACGGCCUUCGGGUUGUAAACCUCUUUCAGUAGGGAAGAAGCCCCUUUUUGGGGUGACGGUACUUGCAGAAGAAGCGCCGGCUAACUACGUG